This 596-nucleotide ribosomal RNA is filed under the name uncultured bacterium. RNAcentral's name for it is "bacterial SSU rRNA". It matches the Rfam family "Bacterial small subunit ribosomal RNA", at positions 215 to 829 of the family's 1533-position model. The record is from RNAcentral.
GCGGUGCGAGAUGGGGUCGCGGCCCAUCAGGUAGUAGGUGGGGCAGCAGCCCACCUAGCCUACGACGGGUAGCCGGACUGAGAGGUCGAUCGGCCACAUUGGGACUGAGAUACGGCCCAGACUCCUACGGGAGGCAGCAGUGGGGAAUAUUGCGCAAUGGGGGAAACCCUGACGCAGCAACGCCGCGUGCGGGAUGAAGGCCUUCGGGUUGUAAACCGCUUUCAGCAGGGAAGAGACAGACGGUACCUGCAGAAGAAGCCCCGGCUAACUACGUGCCAGCAGCCGCGGUAAUACGUAGGGGGCGAGCGUUAUCCGGAUUCAUUGGGCGUAAAGCGCGCGCAGGCGGACCGUUAAGCGGGACCUCUAAUCCUGGGGCUCAACCUCAGGCCGGGUCCCGAACUGGCGGUCUCGAGUGCGGUAGGGGAGGUCGGAAUUCCCGGUGUAGCGGUGGAAUGCGCAGAUAUCGGGAAGAACACCGAUGGCGAAGGCAGACCUCUGGGCCGACACUGACGCUGAGGCGCGAAAGCUAGGGGAGCGAACAGGAUUAGAUACCCUGGUAGUCCUAGCCGUAAACGAUGGACGCUAGGUGUGGGGGA